RNAcentral lists this ribosomal RNA (493 nucleotides) under uncultured bacterium. RNAcentral's name for it is "partial 16S ribosomal RNA". It matches the Rfam family "Bacterial small subunit ribosomal RNA", at positions 29 to 523 of the family's 1533-position model. The record is from RNAcentral.
AUUGAACGCUGGCGGCAUGCUUUACACAUGCAAGUCGAACGGUAACAGGUUAAGCUGACGAGUGGCGAACGGGUGAGUAAUGCAUCGGAACGUGCCCGAUCGUGGGGGAUAACACUUCGAAAGAAGCGCUAAUACCGCAUACGAUCUGAGGAUGAAAGCGGGGGACCGUAAGGCCUCGUGCGAUCGGAGCGGCCGAUGUCAGAGUAGGUAGUUGGUGGGGUAAAGGCUCACCAAGCCGACGAUCUGUAGCUGGUCUGAGAGGACGACCAGCCACACUGGGACUGGGACACGGCCCAGACUCCUACGGGAGGCAGCAGUGGGGAAUUUUGGACAAUGGGCGCAAGCCAGAUCCAGCAAUGCCGCGUGCAGGAAGAAGGCCUUCGGGUUGUAAACUGCUUUUGUACGGAGCGAAAAGGCUCCCUCUAAUACAGGGGGCUCAUGACGGUACCGUAAGAAUAAGCACCGGCUAACUACGUGCCAGCAGCCGCCGUAA